RNAcentral lists this ribosomal RNA (1097 nucleotides) under Pentatomidae sp. JMU-2006. RNAcentral describes it as "SSU rRNA". It matches the Rfam family "Eukaryotic small subunit ribosomal RNA", at positions 707 to 1721 of the family's 1831-position model. The record is from RNAcentral. Lineage: Eukaryota; Metazoa; Arthropoda; Insecta; Hemiptera; Pentatomidae.
CUGUCGGUGGCUGACAGGUUUCGCGGCGCGCCCCUCUCGCUCAGGCGUCUGGGUCGACGCGCCGUGUUGUCCUCGUUGGCCGGCUCAAUCCUACCGCGGUGCUCUUAAACGAGUGUCGAGGUAGGCCGACACUGUUUACUUUGAACAAAUUAGAGUGCUUCAAGCAGGCUCUGAAAGCAGCCUGAAUAGUGGUGCAUGGAAUAAUGGAACAGGACCUUGGUUCUAUUUUGUUGGUUUCCGGAAUCCAAGGUAAUGAUCAAUAAGGACAGGCGGGGGCAUUCGUAUUGCGACGUUAGAGGUGAAAUUCUUGGAUCGUCGCAAGACGCACUAGAGCGAAAGCAUUUGCCAAGUAUGUCUUAAUUGAUCAAGAACGAAAGUUAGAGGUUCGAAGGCGAUCAGAUACCGCCCUAGUUCUAACCAUAAACGAUGCCAGCCAGCGAUCCGCCGAUGUUCCUCCGAUGACUCGGCGGGGAGCUUUCCCCGGGAAACCAAAGCUUUUGGGUUCCGGGGGAAGUAUGGUUGCAAAGCUGAAACUUAAAGGAAUUGACGGAAGGGGCACCACCAGGAGUGGAGCCUGCGGCUUAAUUUGACUCAACACGGGAAACCUCACCAGGCCCGGACAUUGGAAGGAUUGACAGAUUGAUAGCUCUUUCUUGAUUCAGUGGGUAGUGGUGCAUGGCCGUUCUUAGUUGGUGGAUCGAUUUGUCUGGUUAAUUCCGAUAACGAACGAGACUCUAGCCUAUUAACUAGACGAUCCCGGUAUCAAUGCUACCGGCGAUACUUAAUCUUCUUAAAGGGACAGGCGGCUUACAGCCGCACGAGAUUGAGCAAUAACAGGUCUGUGAUGCCCUUAGAUGUCCUGGGCCGCACGCGCGCUACACUGAAGGAAUCAGCGUGUCCUACCCUGGUCGCAAGGUCCGGGUAACCCGUUGAACCUCCUUCGUGCUAGGAAUUGGGGCUUGCAAUUGUUCCCCAUAAACGAGGAAUUCCCAGUAAGCGCGAGUCAUAAGCUCGCGUUGAUUACGUCCCUGCCCUUUGUACACACCGCCCGUCGCUACUACCGAUUGAAUGAUUUAGUGAGGUCUUCGGACCGGCGG